Molecule: signal recognition particle RNA, 302 nt
Filed under: Phascolarctos cinereus (koala)
Lineage: Eukaryota; Metazoa; Chordata; Mammalia; Diprotodontia; Phascolarctidae
Description: Metazoan signal recognition particle RNA (ENSPCIG00000011608.2)
Rfam family: Metazoan signal recognition particle RNA
About the family: The signal recognition particle (SRP) is a universally conserved ribonucleoprotein.
Source: RNAcentral
GUUGGACAUGGUGACACAUGCCUGUAGUCCCUGAUACUGGGAAGACUGAGGCUUGUGAAUCACUCGACUUCAGGAAUUCUGAGCUGCAACAGGGCUCAAGUCAGUAGAGUUCCCCCACUAAGCCUGGCACCAAGAUGGUGAGCUUGUAGGAGUGGGAACCCACCAGGCUGACUAACAAAGAACAGACUGGCCCAAGUCAGAAAUGGAGCAAGUCAAAGCUUCCAUGUCAUUUAGAAGGCAUGUUGGACUUGUGAGUAACCAUUGCACUUCCAUCCUGGGUGAGAUAGGAAGACCCAGUCUCA